GUUUGGUACCUGACAGAGGUACAUCUUUUCCGAUGUUGAACCCAUCAUGGCCAUGUUGGAUCCACCAUCAAGUUUUAUUUUUGAAAACAUCGUCAGGGAUAUCUUCAUAAAAAAUAUAAGUGACGCCUCUCUAAAAAUCACGCUUUGCGGGGAUCAAGCAUCAGGUUUCUCUAUUGACAAUGUCUGCAAUCAAGGCAAUAAUAAACCUAUUGUCAUAAUGUUUGUUGGAUGCUUAGCUAAGCAAUUCAAAGGCCAAUCAUAUCUAAGCGGCACUGCAGCAACUACAUGGUACUUCAAUCCAGACAUUCCUGAGGCACAGGAAUACUACAUCAAGUUACAAAGAAGUGAUCUCCAAAUGAUUAAACCCACAGUAGCAGAAGAAGAAUUUGAGGUUUCUCAAAAACCGAAUAUCGAAGACAAGACUAUCCAAGAACUACUUGAGAUGGAUCUAGAUAUGUUCCCUCCACAGGGCUUUAAGUGCACCGCCACUAUAUCACGACUCAUACAAGAUAGCAAAUGGUGGUUUCCAUCUUGCACCAAAUGCAAAAAGUCUUCACCUCAAACCUCCACUGGAUACCGCUGUACAUCAUGUGGUUGUACAGAUGUAAAGUUUAGCUACAAACUCAGCUUCGUUGCCACUGAUGGAACAUGUGAAGCUGAGUUCUU
Molecule: unclassified non-coding RNA, 666 nt
Filed under: Zea mays
Lineage: Eukaryota; Viridiplantae; Streptophyta; Magnoliopsida; Poales; Poaceae
Description: misc RNA Zm00001eb201490
Source: RNAcentral